UGUAGGUAUGCCCUCUCUCCUCGUAUUAGGAUCAGAAGAAUAGCUGUUAAGGAAAAUACCUUGUAUGACAUUUUCAUCACCUCCACUAGGAAGUUAACUAAUAGAACUUCUGGCCUGCUACUUGACACUGUGGAUAUACAGACAACAAAACUCUGA
Molecule: long non-coding RNA, 156 nt
Organism: Nothoprocta perdicaria
Lineage: Eukaryota; Metazoa; Chordata; Aves; Tinamiformes; Tinamidae
Exons: 2
Source: RefSeq, a predicted model, not a curated record